This is a non-coding RNA of Musa acuminata subsp. malaccensis (wild Malaysian banana), 902 nucleotides long. NCBI's taxonomy places the organism in Eukaryota, Viridiplantae, Streptophyta, Magnoliopsida, Zingiberales, Musaceae. The record is from RefSeq and is a predicted model, not a curated record.
GCUCCUUCCCGUCGAAUUGGAUUCCGGGAUGGCGUCCGCUGUCCCGUGUUGGGGAGACUCCGGUCUUCGCUCAGGCUUUCGGCGGCUCUUUGAGGUCGUCUAUUUCGAUUCCCUUUGAUCCUUGUCUCCUCGUCCUUGUUGGGUUGUGUGUCUCGAUUUGGAGGAAGGGGAUGCGAGAGGCCGCGAGGAGAAACUGGAAGCGGGGGAUUCGCAACGAAAGAGAAAACUUGAAGGAGCUGAAGCUACAGAUUACCUCCUGCUGCUGUUGCUAGUGUUCCAUUCAGUACCAGAAUCCGAGGUUCGUCAAGUCCUGCCGCCGCUGUCCUCUUGCAGAUUGAUAGAACAUGGACGGCACAGCUUAGCCAUCUCUUGACUCGGAUCGCCCCUUCGGAGCUCUCCACAGCUCAAGGCAUUGGUACUCCUGGUGAAGGAUCCUGAGAUCUCCCUGAUGAGAACCUCAACCUGCUCGUGCCGACCACCAACUUCCGAACCUGGCAAGAUGGCUUUCAGCUGCGACGCCAGUUCGUGCAUGACUCUUCCGUUCAUGUCCCGGAAACCCAUCCAUAGACGAGAAAGCCUCAGUUGACUCCUCUCAUAGAUUCUAACAUGGGGGGUAUCAAUCAAUGUAGGACACGAGGUGAUGGAAUCAAAGGGCGCCAAAGUUUCGUCAGCCACUGUGACAACACAACAGCACUGGCGCCUGGUUGAAGAUGGAUAACAUGGAAGCUGAACCGAGAGUUCACGUGGCGAACUGUUCUUUAGUGUCAGUCGAGCUUAAUAAGCAGCAACUCCGAGUGAUGUUUGAAUUGCUUGUGAAGCAUAACUCGAUGGAAAAGUAGAAUUGUAAUUCAUUACAAACGAAGCCAUAAGGGUAGCUAUAAAGAAUGCGUAUCCUUUCUACA